UGGGGAAUAUUGCACAAUGGGGGAAACCCUGAUGCAGCAACGCCGCGUGAGUGAUGACGGCCUUCGGGUUGUAAAGCUCUGUCUUCAGGGACGAUAAUGACGGUACCUGAGGAGGAAGCCACGGCUAACUACGUGCCAGCAGCCGCGGUAAUACGAAGGUGGCAAGCGUUGUCCGGAUUUACUGGGCGUAAAGGGAGCGUAGGCGGACUUUUAAGUGAGAUGUGAAAUACCCGGGCUCAACCUGGGUGCUGCAUUUCAAACUGGAAGUCUAGAGUGCAGGAGAGGAGAGUGGAAUUCCUAGUGUAGCGGUGAAAUGCGUAGAGAUUAGGAAGAACACCAGUGGCGAAGGCGACUCUCUGGACUGUAACUGACGCUGAGUCUCGAAAGCGUGGGGAGCAAACA
RNAcentral lists this ribosomal RNA (402 nucleotides) under uncultured bacterium. RNAcentral describes it as "bacterial SSU rRNA". It matches the Rfam family "Bacterial small subunit ribosomal RNA", at positions 355 to 774 of the family's 1533-position model. The record is from RNAcentral.